ACUAUAUUGUCGAUAAUUAAUCUGCCGGAUAUAAAUAUGUAUCAAAACAGGCAGGCUACUGACGUUUCUUGAGGCCUUGGUCUAAAAAAAAAUAAAAAUAAUAAGAAUAUAGCCACACGUGUGAGUACUGACCUUUGUAUUCCUUGAACCCUCACAUUUCUGAAACGCAAUUUGUGAGCUCUUCCUUCGAUUUCUCUCUACUCACUCUUCAAGGCAAAAUCAAGCUCCUGGCAAGGAAAAAGAAGAUUAACUUUAGAAAUGAAUUCAGUAGCAAAGAAUGUAUGCAACAUCUUCAGGAACCUUAAUUUUGGUGGAAAUAAUCCAAGUCCAUUGUUGAGUUCACUUCAACAAUGGAGAGGAAUCAAAGUUAGAGUAAGAGGUGGAAAUGUAGAACAAGCUUUACAGAUUAUGCAGAGAAAAAUGACAUCAACUGGGAUGGAGAGAUUGCUAAAGCGUCAAGGUCAGCAAACUACUCACAUUAAGAACUCAGAGAAGAAAGUAUUAGCUAGAAAGAAUCUCGAUCGCAGACUUAAAUCACAAGAUUUAGCUCGCAAACUGAACUUCAUCCUUCUCAAGAAAAUCAGAUCGAGCGAUUGAAUGGAGGAUAUGUUGAAGAGUACAAUCGAAGGUGCUGAAUUCUUGAAUCAAGUUGGGUGUACAGAAAUUCCACCGUUUUUCCUUCUCUGUGAUUGCUCUGAGAAGAGUUUUACUGUCUUGAAUUAUCCAAGUAUUUGUUCAGAGUUAUUAAUUUUUAGACGUUACGAAUAAUUGUUUAAAGAUUUUCACUUUCUUGAGCUCUGUGGAAAUGGAAUAUUCCUGGUGUUCAAAAAUUUAUAGUUUUUGUUUCGCCUUUUC
Molecule: long non-coding RNA, 855 nt
Organism: Papaver somniferum (opium poppy)
Lineage: Eukaryota; Viridiplantae; Streptophyta; Magnoliopsida; Ranunculales; Papaveraceae
Exons: 3
Source: RefSeq, a predicted model, not a curated record